RNAcentral lists this ribosomal RNA (1372 nucleotides) under uncultured bacterium. Its description in RNAcentral is "bacterial SSU rRNA". It matches the Rfam family "Bacterial small subunit ribosomal RNA", at positions 28 to 1381 of the family's 1533-position model. The record is from RNAcentral.
GAUGAACGCUGGCGGCGUGCCUAAUACAUGCAAGUCGAGCGAACGGACGAGAAGCUUGCUUCUCUGAUGUUAGCGGCGGACGGGUGAGUAACACGUGGAUAACCUACCUAUAAGACUGGGAUAACUUCGGGAAACCGGAGCUAAUACCGGAUAAUAUUUUGAACCGCAUGGUUCAAAAGUGAAAGACGGUCUUGCUGUCACUUAUAGAUGGAUCCGCGCUGCAUUAGCUAGUUGGUAAGGUAACGGCUUACCAAGGCAACGAUGCAUAGCCGACCUGAGAGGGUGAUCGGCCACACUGGAACUGAGACACGGUCCAGACUCCUACGGGAGGCAGCAGUAGGGAAUCUUCCGCAAUGGGCGAAAGCCUGACGGAGCAACGCCGCGUGAGUGAUGAAGGUCUUCGGAUCGUAAAACUCUGUUAUUAGGGAAGAACAUAUGUGUAAGUAACUGUGCACAUCUUGACGGUACCUAAUCAGAAAGCCACGGCUAACUACGUGCCAGCAGCCGCGGUAAUACGUAGGUGGCAAGCGUUAUCCGGAAUUAUUGGGCGUAAAGCGCGCGUAGGCGGUUUUUUAAGUCUGAUGUGAAAGCCCGCGGCUCAACCGUGGAGGGUCAUUGGAAACUGGAAAACUUGAGUGCAGAAGAGGAAAGUGGAAUUCCAUGUGUAGCGGUGAAAUGCGCAGAGAUAUGGAGGAACACCAGUGGCGAAGGCGACUUUCUGGUCUGUAACUGACGCUGAUGUGCGAAAGCGUGGGGAUCAAACAGGAUUAGAUACCCUGGUAGUCCACGCCGUAAACGAUGAGUGCUAAGUGUUAGGGGGUUUCCGCCCCUUAGUGCUGCAGCUAACGCAUUAAGCACUCCGCCUGGGGAGUACGACCGCAAGGUUGAAACUCAAAGGAAUUGACGGGGACCCGCACAAGCGGUGGAGCAUGUGGUUUAAUUCGAAGCAACGCGAAGAACCUUACCAAAUCUUGACAUCCUUUGACAACUCUAGAGAUAGAGCUUUCCCCUUCGGGGGACAAAGUGACAGGUGGUGCAUGGUUGUCGUCAGCUCGUGUCGUGAGAUGUUGGGUUAAGUCCCGCAACGAGCGCAACCCUUAAGCUUAGUUGCCAUCAUUAAGUUGGGCACCCUAAGUUGACUGCCGGUGACAAACCGGAGGAAGGUGGGGAUGACGUCAAAUCAUCAUGCCCCUUAUGAUUUGGGCUACACACGUGCUACAAUGGACAAUACAAAGGGCAGCGAAACCGCGAGGUCAAGCAAAUCCCAUAAAGUUGUUCUCAGUUCGGAUUGUAGUCUGCAACUCGACUACAUGAAGCUGGAAUCGCUAGUAAUCGUAGAUCAGCAUGCUACGGUGAAUACGUUCCCGGGUCU